RNAcentral lists this ribosomal RNA (818 nucleotides) under uncultured archaeon. Its description in RNAcentral is "bacterial SSU rRNA". It matches the Rfam family "Archaeal small subunit ribosomal RNA", at positions 39 to 859 of the family's 1478-position model. The record is from RNAcentral.
UUCGCCUAAGCCAUGCGAGUCAUAUGUAGCAAUACAUGGCGUACUGCUCAGUAACACGUGGAUAACCUGCCCUUGGGUCCGGCAUAACCCCGGGAAACUGGGGAUAAUUCCGGAUAACGCAUAUAUGCUGGAAUGCUUUCUGCGUAAAAUGGAUUCGUCUGCCCAAGGAUGGGUCUGCGGCCUAUCAGGUAGUAGUGGGUGUAAUGUACCUACUAGCCUACGACGGGUACGGGUUGUGAGAGCAAGAGCCCGGAGAUGGAUUCUGAGACAUGAAUCCAGGCCCUACGGGGCGCAGCAGGCGCGAAAACUUUACAAUGCGGGAAACCGUGAUAAGGGGACACCGAGUGCCAGCAUCCUAUGCUGGCUGUCCGGGUGUGUAAAAUACACCUGUUAGCAAGGGCCGGGCAAGACCGGUGCCAGCCGCCGCGGUAACACCGGCGGCCCGAGUGGUGAUCGUGAUUAUUGGGUCUAAAGGGUCCGUAGCCGGUUUGGUCAGUCCUCCGGGAAAUCUGACAGCUCAACUGUUAGGCUUUCGGAGGAUACUGCCAGACUUGGAACCGGGAGAGGUAAGAGGUACUACAGGGGUAGGAGUGAAAUCUUGUAAUCCCUGUGGGACCACCUGUGGCGAAGGCGUCUUACCAGAACGGGUUCGACGGUGAGGGACGAAAGCUGGGGGCACGAACCGGAUUAGAUACCCGGGUAGUCCCAGCCGUAAACGAUGCUCGCUAGGUGUCAGGCAUGGCGCGACCGUGUCUGGUGCCGCAGGGAAGCCGUGAAGCGAGCCACCUGGGAAGUACGGCCGCAAGGCUGAAACUUAA